This 495-nucleotide ribosomal RNA is filed under the name uncultured bacterium. Its description in RNAcentral is "partial 16S ribosomal RNA". It matches the Rfam family "Bacterial small subunit ribosomal RNA", at positions 28 to 507 of the family's 1533-position model. The record is from RNAcentral.
GAUGAACGCUGGCGGCGUGCCUAAUACAUGCAAGUAGAACGCUGAAGGAGGAGCUUGCUCUUCUGGAUGAGUUGCGAACGGGUGAGUAACGCGUAGGUAACCUGCCUGGUAGCGGGGGAUAACUAUUGGAAACGAUAGCUAAUACCGCAUGACAACAGUUAUUGCAUGAUAACUGUUUAAAAGGGGCAACUGCUCCACUACCAGAUGGACCUGCGUUGUAUUAGCUAGUUGGUGAGGUAACGGCUCACCAAGGCGACGAUACAUAGCCGACCUGAGAGGGGGAUCGGCCACACUGGGACUGGGACACGGCCCAGACUCCUACGGGAGGCAGCAGUAGGGAAUCUUCGGCAAUGGACGGAAGUCUGACCGAGCAACGCCGCGGGAGUGAAGAAGGGUUUCGGAUCGUAAAGCUCUGUUGUAAGAGAAGAACGAGUGUGAGAGUGGAAAGUUCACACUGUGACGGUAUCUUACCAGAAAGGGACGGCUAACUACGUG